UAGGUUAUAGUUUAAAAAAAAUUUUGGCUUUGGGUGCUUUAGAUGCCAUUCUGGUUAGCCUAA
RNAcentral lists this transfer RNA (63 nucleotides) under Xyloredo sp. E88. Its description in RNAcentral is "tRNA-Pro". The record is from RNAcentral. Lineage: Eukaryota; Metazoa; Mollusca; Bivalvia; Myida; Pholadidae. RNAcentral also lists the same sequence under 1 other name.